ACCUCGGAUCAGGUAGGAAUACCCGCUGAACUUAAGCAUAUCAAUAAGCGGAGGAAAAGAAACCAACAGGGAUUGCCCUAGUAACGGCGAGUGAAGCGGCAACAGCUCAAAUUUGAAAUCUGGCUCUCGGGCCCGAGUUGUAAUUUGUAGAGGAUACUUUUGAUGCGGUGCCUUCCGAGUUCCCUGGAACGGGACGCCAUAGAGGGUGAGAGCCCCGUCUGGUUGGAUGCCAAAUCUCUGUAAAGUUCCUUCAACGAGUCGAGUAGUUUGGGAAUGCUGCUCUAAAUGGGAGGUAUAUGUCUUCUAAAGCUAAAUACCGGCCAGAGACCGAUAGCGCACAAGUAGAGUGAUCGAAAGAUGAAAAGCACUUUGAAAAGAGAGUUAAAAAGUACGUGAAAUUGUUGAAAGGGAAGCGUUUAUGACCAGACUUGGGCUUGGNUUAAUCAUCUGGGGUUCUCCCCAGUGCACUUUUCCAGUCCAGGCCAGCAUCAGUUUUCCCCGGGGGAUAAAGGCGGCGGGAAUGUGGCUCUCUUCGGGGAGUGUUAUAGCCCACCGUGUAAUACCCUGGGGGGGACUGAGNUC
This 582-nucleotide ribosomal RNA is filed under the name Fusarium sp. BESC883b. Its description in RNAcentral is "eukaryotic LSU rRNA". It matches the Rfam family "Eukaryotic large subunit ribosomal RNA", at positions 1 to 595 of the family's 3401-position model. The record is from RNAcentral. Lineage: Eukaryota; Fungi; Ascomycota; Sordariomycetes; Hypocreales; Nectriaceae.